This 497-nucleotide ribosomal RNA is filed under the name uncultured bacterium. RNAcentral describes it as "partial 16S ribosomal RNA". It matches the Rfam family "Bacterial small subunit ribosomal RNA", at positions 28 to 507 of the family's 1533-position model. The record is from RNAcentral.
GACGAACGCUGGCGGCGUGCCUAAUACAUGCAAGUUGAGCGCUGAAGGUUGGUACUUGUACCAACUGGAUGAGCAGCGAACGGGUGAGUAACGCGUGGGGAAUCUGCCUUUGAGCAGGGGACAACAUUUGGAAACGAAUGCUAAUACCGCAUAAAAACUUUAAACACAAGUUUUAAGUUUGAAAGAUGCAAUUGCAUCACUCAAAGAUGAUCCCGCGUUGUAUUAGCUAGUUGGUGAGGUAAAGGCUCACCAAGGCGAUGAUACAUAGCCGACCUGAGAGGGUGAUCGGCCACAUUGGGACUGAGACACGGCCCAAACUCCUACGGGAGGAAGCAGUAGGGAAUCUUCGGCAAUGGACGAAAGUCUGACCGAGCAACGCCGCGUGAGUGAAGAAGGUUUUCGGAUCGUAAAACUCUGUUGGUAGAGAAGAACGUUGGUGAGAGUGGAAAGCUCACCAAGUGACGGUAACUACCCAGAAAGGGACGGCUAACUACGUG